Molecule: transfer RNA, 72 nt
Filed under: Nitrososphaerota archaeon
Lineage: Archaea; Thermoproteati; Nitrososphaerota
Also listed under: 2 other names
Description: tRNA-Ala
Rfam family: tRNA
About the family: Transfer RNA (tRNA) molecules are approximately 80 nucleotides in length. Their secondary structure includes four short double-helical elements and three loops (D, anti-codon, and T loops).
Source: RNAcentral
GGGCCGGUAGUUCAGUGGUAGAAUGCUCCCGUGGCAUGGGAGAGGUCGGGGGUUCGAGUCCCCCCCGGUCCA